GCUUGUGACCAUUGCCCUUUGAUUGCCCUAUCAUAUUUGAUUAUCUGUGUGAUGGAGAACCGCGGCAGGAGGGAGUUGAGCCCCAAGUCUCAAAGCACCGGGCAUGGCAUAAAGCAUGCAAAAUAGUGGCAGCGGAACUUGAGGACCAGCUACAGAAGACUGGCAAGACUCAUGAUGUUAUUCAAACUGGCUAUCACCUUGAUGCAGAUCCCAAAUCAAAGAUUACGACAAAAUAUAGAAAAUCCGAGCUCCGACUUUUGGAGGUUUUAGAAGAUGUGUGUGAAGGUAUCCUCUCGUACAAUGUGCACAAGGAGCGGACAGACAGCACACGCUUUGCCAAGGGCCGCAGUCAGACCUUCCAGACUCUCCACAACCUUGUUGACAAAGGCGUCAAAGUGGACCUUGGAAUCCCACAUGAACUGUGGGAUAAACCCAGUGCAGAAAUAACCGACCUGAAGAACAAGUGUGAUGCGCUGAUAGAGGACUUUGAGGAGGUGAUCACGCAGUGGUACAAUGAGUACCAGGAGGCCAUCCCCCUGUCUACCUUCCUCUGCUCGCGCCACGUGCUAGCAAAGGACGACGACGCGUGCCUCUCGGACCCGCCGGCGGCUCCCGUGCGCGACGAGCUCUGACACGUGGCGCCCGAGAUCGUGGACCCGCCGCCGCCUGGACGCUCAUAUUGACGUGGCAGACCGCUACUGGCCGUGCUGAACUGGUAACUGAGACAAUGGUGGUGCGUUGGGAUCAUGUGGGCUCAGUCGGUAGGCCCAGCUCAGUAUUUAUUUGUUUGAAACCGGUUUUAAAACUGAGCAUGAAAGUUAAGUGUUCAGGUGGAACUGCCAGUGAAGUCGAAAUCAAUUUUAAUGCCUGACGAGUCGUUAGUUCCGUAUUCCCAAUAGAUUGAUUUCAUUUGAGUGAUUCUUCCGUACGUGAUUGAGAUCAGAGAUGUGUCGCAAGUUGAAUCAUUUUACCAGUAGGUACCAAUUCGUCAUUUUUUACACAUCAUCUGUAUAUUAAAUGUGUAUCUACGCUUACAUCAUUUAGUGUUUUGUGCGUCUGUAUGCUUAUGAGCUUGAUCUCUUGCUGGUGUAUCAAUAUACAAGGUACAUGACAUUUUA
Molecule: unclassified non-coding RNA, 1118 nt
Filed under: Amphibalanus amphitrite
Lineage: Eukaryota; Metazoa; Arthropoda; Thecostraca; Balanomorpha; Balanidae
Description: protein canopy homolog 3-like, transcript variant X1
Source: RNAcentral